This 307-nucleotide unclassified non-coding RNA is filed under the name Galactomyces sp. KY-605. RNAcentral describes it as "partial contains ITS1, 5.8S ribosomal RNA and ITS2". The stretch from base 70 to 218 matches the Rfam family "5.8S ribosomal RNA". The record is from RNAcentral. Lineage: Eukaryota; Fungi; Ascomycota; Dipodascomycetes; Dipodascales; Dipodascaceae.
UUGAUUUUAAUUAUUUGUGAAGGUAAUACUAAUUAACAAAAAUUAUAAUGUCAAAACAAAAAAAAUCAAAACUUUUAACAAUGGAUCUCUUGGUUCUCGUAUCGAUGAAGAACGCAGCGAAACGCGAUAUUUCUUGUGAAUUGCAGAAGUGAAUCAUCAGUUUUUGAACGCACAUUGCACUUUGGGGUAUCCCCCAAAGUAUACUUGUUUGAGCGUUGUUUCUCUCUUGGAAUUGCAUUGCUUUUCUAAAAAAUGGAAUCAAAUUCGUUUGAAACAACAUUAUUUCAACCUCAGAUCAAGUAGGAAA